RNAcentral lists this ribosomal RNA (497 nucleotides) under uncultured bacterium. Its description in RNAcentral is "partial 16S ribosomal RNA". It matches the Rfam family "Bacterial small subunit ribosomal RNA", at positions 28 to 507 of the family's 1533-position model. The record is from RNAcentral.
GAUGAACGCUGGCGGCGUGCCUAAUACAUGCAAGUCGAGCGAACGGACGAGAAGCUUGCUUCUCUGAUGUUAGCGGCGGACGGGUGAGUAACACGUGGAUAACCUACCUAUAAGACUGGGAUAACUUCGGGAAACCGGAGCUAAUACCGGAUAAUAUUUUGAACCGCAUGGUUCAAAAGUGAAAGACGGUCUUGCUGUCACUUAUAUAUGGAUCCGCGCUGCAUUAGCUAGUUGGUAAGGUAACGGCUUACCAAGGCAACGAUGCAUAGCCGACCUGAGAGGGUGAUCGGCCACACUGGAACUGAGACACGGUCCAGACUCCUACGGGAGGCAGCAGUAGGGAAUCUUCCGCAAUGGGCGAAAGCCUGGCGGAGCAACGCCGCGUGAGUGAUGAAGGUCUUCGGAUCGUAAAACUCUGUUAUUAGGGAAGAACAUAUGUGUAAGUAACUGUGCACAUCUUGACGGUACCUAAUCAGAAAGCCACGGCUAACUACGUG